CAGCUUUUGUGAUUUUGUAAUUUAGCUAAUAACAAUUGCAUAGUCACAAAAGCGAUU
RNAcentral lists this microRNA precursor (57 nucleotides) under Brachionus plicatilis. RNAcentral describes it as "Bpl-Mir-153_pre stem-loop". Lineage: Eukaryota; Metazoa; Rotifera; Eurotatoria; Ploima; Brachionidae. The record is from RNAcentral.